GACGGACGCUGGCGGCGUGCUUAACACAUGCAAGUCGAACGGAAAGGCCCUGCUUUUGUGGGGUGCUCGAGUGGCGAACGGGUGAGUAACACGUGAGUAACCUGCCCUUGACUUUGGGAUAACUUCAGGAAACUGGGGCUAAUACCGGAUAGGAGCUCCUGCUGCAUGGUGGGGGUUGGAAAGUUUCGGCGGUUGGGGAUGGACUCGCGGCUUAUCAGCUUGUUGGUGGGGUAGUGGCUUACCAAGGCUUUGACGGGUAGCCGGCCUAAGAGGGUGACCGGCCACAUUUGGACUGAGAUACGGCCCAGACUCCUACGGGAGGCAGCAGUGGGGAAUAUUGCACAAUGGGCGGAAGCCUGAUGCAGCAACGCCGCGUGCGGGAUGACGGCCUUCGGGUUGUAAACCGCUUUCGCCUGUGACGAAGCGUGAGUGACGGUAAUGGGUAAAGAAGCACCGGCUAACUACGUG
Molecule: ribosomal RNA, 468 nt
Filed under: uncultured bacterium
Lineage: Bacteria
Description: partial 16S ribosomal RNA
Rfam family: Bacterial small subunit ribosomal RNA
Source: RNAcentral